GUAGGGGGCAAGCGUUGUCCGGAUUUAUUGGGCGUAAAGAGCUCGUAGGCGGUUCGACAAGCCGACGGUGAAAUCUCCACGCUCAACGUGGAGGGGUCCGUCGGAACUGUCGUGACUAGAGUCCGGUAGGGGAGUGUGGAAUUUCCGGUGUAGCGGUGAAAUGCGCAGAGAUCGGAAGGAACACCCCUAGCGAAGGCGGCACUCUGGGCCGUGACUGACGCUGAGGAGCGAAAGCGUGGGGAGCAAACAGGAUUAGAUACCCUGGUAGUCCACGCCGUAAACGUUGGGCACUAGGUGUGGGGCUCUAUCAACGGGCUCCGUGCCGUAGCUAACGCAUUAAGUGCCCCGCCUGGGGAGUACGGCCGCAAGGUUA
This 373-nucleotide ribosomal RNA is filed under the name uncultured bacterium. RNAcentral describes it as "bacterial SSU rRNA". It matches the Rfam family "Bacterial small subunit ribosomal RNA", at positions 527 to 896 of the family's 1533-position model. The record is from RNAcentral.